GCCGGUGUGGCGGAAUUGGUAGACGCGCGGGACUCAAAAUCCCGUUCCCUCACAGGAGUGUCGGUUCGAGCCCGACCACCGGUA
This 84-nucleotide transfer RNA is filed under the name Salisediminibacterium beveridgei. RNAcentral describes it as "Bacillus beveridgei tRNA". It matches the Rfam family "tRNA". Rfam says of the family: Transfer RNA (tRNA) molecules are approximately 80 nucleotides in length. Their secondary structure includes four short double-helical elements and three loops (D, anti-codon, and T loops). Lineage: Bacteria; Bacillati; Bacillota; Bacilli; Caryophanales; Bacillaceae. The record is from Rfam by way of RNAcentral.